GUGUAGUUGAACCUUGGGUCUGGCUGGCCGGUCCGCCUCACCGCGAGUACUGGUCCGGCUGGACCUUUCCUUCUGGGGAACCUCAUGGCCUUCACUGGCUGUGGGGGGAACCAGGACUUUUACUGUGAAAAAAUUAGAGUGUUCAAAGCAGGCCUUUGCUCGAAUACAUUAGCAUGGAAUAAUAGAAUAGGACGUGUGGUUCUAUUUUGUUGGUUUCUAGGACCGCCGUAAUGAUUAAUAGGGAUAGUCGGGGGCGUCAGUAUUCAGCUGUCAGAGGUGAAAUUCUUGGAUUUGCUGAAGACUAACUACUGCGAAAGCAUUCGCCAAGGAUGUUUUCAUUAAUCAGGGAACGAAAGUUAGGGGAUCGAAGACGAUCAGAUACCGUCGUAGUCUUAACCAUAAACUAUGCCGACUAGGGAUCGGACGGGAUUCUAUAAUGACCCGUUCGGCACCUUACGAGAAAUCAAAGUUUUUGGGUUCUGGGGGGAGUAUGGUCGCAAGGCUGAAACUUAAAGAAAUUGACGGAAGGGCACCACAAGGCGUGGAGCCUGCGGCUUAAUUGACU
RNAcentral lists this ribosomal RNA (565 nucleotides) under Trichocomaceae sp. Its description in RNAcentral is "SSU rRNA". It matches the Rfam family "Eukaryotic small subunit ribosomal RNA", at positions 628 to 1200 of the family's 1831-position model. The record is from RNAcentral. Lineage: Eukaryota; Fungi; Ascomycota; Eurotiomycetes; Eurotiales; Trichocomaceae.